Molecule: long non-coding RNA, 842 nt
Organism: Canis lupus familiaris (dog)
Lineage: Eukaryota; Metazoa; Chordata; Mammalia; Carnivora; Canidae
Exons: 4
Source: RefSeq, a predicted model, not a curated record
UAUUUUUUCAUUUGACAGAAAGAGCUGGAUAUUGAGGUGUAAACUCCCUUUGAGAGAAGCAGAGACAGGCUCACUGUAAGCAAUGGGUGACAAUCUCUACGCUUUUCUGAACAUGGGGUUUGAUAAAGGAAGAAGAGGAAACAUGAAGACAGUGAGAGCUUGUUAUAAAAGACUAAGUGAACCCUAAAGAGAGGGACUCAGUAAACAUUACCUAAAUUCAACGCUGAUUGGUUUUCAAGAGAUACAUUUUUCUUUCAACGUUCUUGUCUUCAAAGGCUAAUGGGAUCUGCUGCUCUGUUGGAAGCCAGAGUUAGGUCUUCGGGUCAGCCAUGGCUUCACUGAACUUGGCUCAAGAUUUCAGACCAGCUUCAGAUCUACUCUAUUUGGUUCAUUAUACUCCUUGAACCAGCAACCAACUAAGCCAUAUUCUUCUAAUUACACAUCGCAAGACCACAACAAGGAAGCAUGGCAUCCCUGUGGAAGAAGAUUUUGAAGUUUGUUGUAUAAUUCUGGAGGAGAAAACAGACUGAUUUGAUACAAAUUUCAGGAAGCUAUUUUAGUGUAGUAUAAAGAAGACAUUCUAACAAAUAAAGCUAUACAGCAAUGGAAAUAACUAGACUGUGAGGUAGUGGAUACUAAUCUCAGGAAAAUUCAAAAUUUAUAUGGUAACAUGCUGUACUUAAAGAAACCUUGACUAUGUAAUCUUAAGAAUUUUCCACCUAUAGAAUUACAUUUUUAUGUAACUCUAAUUUGAUAGUGUUAAGUAGUGCUUCAUCUAGUUCUGGCCUCAUGUGACACCUAUGGAAAAAAACGGAUUAGCUCUCUUACUUCAGAAUGCUCAG